RNA transcript from Zonotrichia leucophrys gambelii, 2614 nucleotides. It is a transcript of the gene named potassium calcium-activated channel subfamily M regulatory beta subunit 1, with no coding region annotated. The transcript is spliced from 6 exons. Lineage: Eukaryota; Metazoa; Chordata; Aves; Passeriformes; Passerellidae. The record is from RefSeq and is a predicted model, not a curated record.
CAGCAAAGCAAACCUAGCGACGUACAGGAAAGGAAAAAAUUUAAUAAAAAAUCCCUUUCAGCUCUGAGCUCCACUACUAUCCCAAGUUUGUCAUGUAACAGACUUUUUUCAUCAGAGAAAGCAGCAUUUCAUCAAAAAUUAGGCUGUUCAAGUUUCACAACUCUAAAUCAUGCUGGGAAAGAAGUUGGUGACUGCACAAAAGCGAGGGGAGACAAGAGCCCUCUGCCUGGGACUGGGAAUGGUUGCAUGCUCCAUGAUGAUGUACUUUUUUAUUGGGAUCACCAUUGUGCCAUUUUACACUAAGAGUGUUUGGACAACAGAAACUGUGUGCAAGGUACUCAAAGCCAACAUCAAGGACAAAGUUUUCUGCCCAAACAGCAAAGGCUCAGAGGAUGAGGAAAUCUUUCCUUAUCCCUGUCUACAGGUGUGGGUUAAUCUGACAGCCUCAGGACAGGAGGUUAUGCUCUACCAGACUGAAGAUACACUGGAAAGAAAUCCUAAGUGCUCAUAUGUCCCAGACAAGUUGGAGAACUCUAAAGAAGUUAAAGCACGAAUAGAAACAAUUGCAAGCAAUUUCAAAAAAUACCAGACUUUCCCGUGUUACUAUGACCCAGGAGGAACACAGCCCAACGUCAUUUUAAGCAGACUUUAUCCUGCAAAAGAGCCAAGACUUCUAGGAAUGCUCUGAUGCACUGAGAGACUUUCUCUGAUCUCUGAAAAGAACUGUUUCUCUCAGCCAAAUUUCAAAUUGCCAUUGGACACAGGUGGAACAUGAGAUACUUCCUGCAUACUGUAUUUGACUGUCAUCUGGGACAAAACUGGUACAAGCUUUUUCAUCAUACAGUUGAAUCGGAAAGUGAAAGUUCAUCUGGCACAGGUACAGAUGGUUUGGGUGACCAAGUUGGAUGGGAGAGGAAAGAGAACCUGCUUUGUUAGUUCAUAAAAAGCUGAGGCAGAAGUGUGGUAAGCGGUUUUAAAAAGAGUCUCCAAAUUGUGAAGUAGAACUUACUCAUGACUGCACUCAAUCCAGCAAAUUUGUAACCCAUCACUUUCCUCCCCAUCCAGCUCAGCAGAGAUAGAUGAAGGUUGGAUGUUGCUGGCAGACCCUGUGGCUCCACUCAUUCAGCAGUCAGUGACCUGGGUUUGAAGAGCAUAAAUUUGUGAUCUUGCUGAGCUCAGAACUCAGCAUGAAGCAUGAAGCCCUGGAGUAACUGCUCUCAAAUCUGCCCUUGGCUUCCCAAGGCUACCCGCUACAGCCUUGUAGGGGGUAAUGUGAGAGACAACGGCUCCCUUUGAAAAUUUAAAGGGGUUUAUUAAACCUUAACAAAAAUACAACAAAGGACUACAUAAGGAAUAAGCUGCAGCGCUGGGAACUGCCUCUCAUGCAUACCACAUGGCUAGUUCAUCUUCAAGAUGGAUGCUCAAUCUUUUAUACCCCUGGGGGUUGUAUCAGCUAACCCUGGCCCCUUCAAAGUCUGUCAGUUAGCUCUUUGCUAUUUAUUGGUGAAAAUGGCUUUUUUUUAAACUUGAUUGGAGGUCAGGUGUUGCCAUGCCGUACCCCCUAAGCACCAAGCUUUUCCAUUCCCAAUUGUCCCAUGCAAGGGACACAUGUGCACGCCUUCUUUUUACCUGUCUUAGACAACCCAGCCUGUCUGAUAGCAAAAAUACAGGGGGGGAAGGGAACUAUGGGGAGAACAGAGGACAUUUAAACUACAAUAACAUAAGUAUACAUCACUUGAAGCUUUUCUUAAUAUCCACACAAUAGUUAUCUUUUAAUUAUGAGAGCCAAUCAUCUCAUUAUCCAUCAAUAAAACUAAUUAUACUUAUCCCUCUUAGUAGCAGAUGAAAAUUUAUUCAGAGUGCAAUCUGAAUAACAGACGUCCAAACUUAACUCCACCAAAAAUAAAGCAAGUUAAUUCUAACAUAUGAAUGGCUAUUUCCUUUUAACUCACACCCAUAGCAAGUACCUAAAGAAAAAUCUUCCACAAAUUCUUUCCUCUAGCAAAGUAAAAUCUCCUAUUUGGACAAGAAAUAUUCCAUGUUGUAUUGCAGUAAACAUUUUAUUUAGUUGUUGGUUUUGCACUGGGUGUUUGAUAAUCCGCACAGAUCACAUGGUCUAUCCCCCCCCAAGCCCCGGUGGUAAUGGUUUGUCCCAGGUUUGCUCCUCCCCUCGCCCCUUCCUCACUUGUAUCCCAUUGGCUGUGGCCCGUUCCUCCGCCCCCCUUCCCUGAGCUUCAGUGUCCCGGGAGGAGCGCACACCCCCCUCGGCCCCCAGCUCUCUUUUCCUGGGACGUCGCCUGAAUCCCGAGGUGAGUCCUAUCUAGGAGUAGAAACAGGACUUUGGUCCCGAGAGGAGAGCGCCUCUGUCUCUUGCUUUUGUCCUUGUGAAGGCUGCUCGGGGCUGGGGUCCAGAGCUAGUCGGAUCGGACUCGAACGGCCCCAGGAGAAAACCAGCCAUUUACAAUUCCAAGUAAAAACAGCUGUGCAGAGAGAAAAUCACACACAAAUCGGGAAACUCCAUUUUUUCUGGAUUCUUGCCAAACACAGCUUCCUCUUUUGUCCAAAAUAAAUGGGAUGUUAAUGUGAAAAGCCAAAUAUUCUAUUGCAGAAAACA